Molecule: ribosomal RNA, 253 nt
Filed under: uncultured bacterium
Lineage: Bacteria
Description: partial 16S ribosomal RNA
Rfam family: Bacterial small subunit ribosomal RNA
Source: RNAcentral
UACGUAGGGUGCGAGCGUUAAUCGGAAUUACUGGGCGUAAAGAGUGCGUAGGUGGUUUAUUGCGCCAGAUGUGAAAUCCCCGGGCUCAACCUGGGAAUGGCAUAUGGUACGGAUAGACUAGAGUACGAUAGAGGGGGGUAGAAUUCCAUGUGUAGCAGUGAAAUGCGUAGAGAUGUGGAGGAAUACCGAUGGCGAAGGCAGCCCCCUGGAUUGAUACUGACACUGAGGCACGAAAGCGUGGGGAGCAAACAGG